Molecule: long non-coding RNA, 1786 nt
Organism: Astatotilapia calliptera (eastern happy)
Lineage: Eukaryota; Metazoa; Chordata; Actinopteri; Cichliformes; Cichlidae
Source: Ensembl
GGGGAGGUAGUAGUGAAAUAGCUUUGAUGGUACAUUGACCAGGCAUGUGAGGGCGAGAGAGAGUGAGAGACGGAGAGAGAGAGGGAACAUUCAAGUAAGCGGUCUACAGAGUGGAAGUUUGCAUACCAGGUGUCACUUCCAACCAGGCUGCUCCCUGUUCUAUAGAUGCUUUACUGAGAACUUCACUGAGAAAGACUGACAGCAACAACCAUUUCUCAAGUAAGGAAAAGCAAUAUAUGUUUAUCUGUGUUAAUGUAAUAAAUUCUCUCUUUUUUUCUUUUUUUUUUACAACUUUGCAAUCGUGAUGGCAUCUAGGUCAUGUCUACGUCAUUAUACGUGUUUUAUUGUAUUCAUCCAGAAAAGGGAGAACUGAGGAAAGAACAGCAUCCUGUAUGAGUUACCGAUAUGGGGAACUUCACCAGCUCAGAGAAAACUUUCAUAAUUCUGUUUCCAAGUUUCGGCUUUACUAAACUCUGAUAAGAGCAUGCCUGAUAAAGAUGUCUUAGCUUUAAAGGGGAUUCCCAGAUUUUAAAUUUCUGUAGUCCCACACAUUUUAAAGUUCUUCAUAUGAACAUUCUUUCACUGAAAUUUCAUGGAAUGAUAAGAUCAAUCUCUGACGUCAUUGAAAAGAAACGGAAAGCUGUGCGGAAUUAACGUGUAUGCGUUGCGUCCAUUCGUGAUGGGCUAAAGUUGGACAUAGUCAAAUACAACAUUAUCAGCUGUUUUAACAGGAGAUUUUUGGAGUUGUUUCUGCAAGCAUAUUUUUAUUUUAAUUUGUGCAAAUUUGGCAUUGUAAUACUCGACACCAUUAAAAUGUUUUUAAACGACCUAAUAUGUGAAACAAAAUCACUCUGCUUAAAUUCUUCUGAGGUUUGCACAGAAUUCAAAUGUGCUGCUAAAAUAAUUGUUGCUCAACAAUGCUUUCGUGGAAUAAGCGAUACAAACGCUCGAAAAUAGGAAGUUCUCUUAUUUGGUUCAUGUUCAUCAUCAUUACGUUUGAGUCUCAGCAGAAACACACAUGUAUUUAAGUUAAUAUGUAACUUAUUACCAAGAUGUUCAUGCCGUCCUUGAGCUUUGCACACAACUAGAUUUAAAAGAAAACAGAAGAUACAAACAACAGGUGGCUUCCACAAAGAAGUUAAUUAAUUUUAUCUGCAUUAGACUGGAUGUCACGUCACAGAACUGAUAGGAUCAUCAAAAAAAAAAAAAAAAAAAGAAGCAGUCUUUUAAUGGAAUCAAACAAGGGCGUACAACAGCUUUAUUAGAUCACUGGCUUUCUCUCAUCUUCUCUUUUAUUGUGUGUGCAAACAUUUUGUCAGCUGUUGUUUAAUCAUGUCAGACUGUUGGAGAGGGUAAAUACUGUGACUGCAGCAUUCACGCAACUUACAUUGUUUGCCUGUGAGAAAUGUAAUAUAGCAAAGGGGAUAUAAAUGAUGCCUGAUUUUCUUUGGUAAAAAAAAAUGUGGUAAAAAAAAGUGGCAGUGUGUAAUGCUGCUUGAUGACAAUUUUCCACAGGCUUCAAUGGGUAAACUCACAAAAAGACUUCAUGCAUGUAAUUCAGGGUGGAGGCUCUAAAUGUCUUAUUAAUUCUACCCCAGCCUGAAUUCCAACAAAGUAACAGCAGUUAUUGGCUGAAAGAGACCUAAGCAAAAAUGAUUAGCUUCAAACUGAUUCACUCCGGCAAGUCUACCUGUAUACUGUAGCAGCACACCUGAAGUACUAUCAGUCCCUCCAUUUUCUUAUAUAGUGUAUGCUGUGAGACAACUGAUGAUACCAUAUGAGAGUC